RNAcentral lists this unclassified non-coding RNA (303 nucleotides) under Hevea brasiliensis (rubber tree). The record is from RNAcentral. Lineage: Eukaryota; Viridiplantae; Streptophyta; Magnoliopsida; Malpighiales; Euphorbiaceae.
AGUCCUUAUUGGAUGGCUCCUGAGCUCUUGCAGUCAGUUAUGCAGACGGAUACUACCACUGAUCUUGCCUUUGCCACUGAUAUAUGGAGUUUGGGUUGUACAGUAAUUGAAAUGCUGAACGGCAGACCACCUUGGAGUGAAUAUGAAGCAGCUGCAGCCAUGUUCAAGGUUCUAAAAGAUACGCCUCCAAUACCGGAAACAUUAUCACGUGAAGGGAAAGAUUUCUUGCGCUGUUGUUUCUGUAGGAACCCAGCGGAAAGGCCCUCGGCCAGCAUGUUAUUAGAACAUCGAUUUAUGAGAGUA